This 253-nucleotide ribosomal RNA is filed under the name uncultured bacterium. Its description in RNAcentral is "partial 16S ribosomal RNA". It matches the Rfam family "Bacterial small subunit ribosomal RNA", at positions 524 to 776 of the family's 1533-position model. The record is from RNAcentral.
AACGUAGGACGCAAGCGUUAUCCGGAGUUACUGGGCGUAAAGCGCGGGCAGGCGGUUCUGCCAGUCUGAUGUGAAAUCUCCUCGCUCAACGGGGAGCAGCCAUUGGAAACUACAGAACUGGAGUCUGGCAGAGGUAGGCGGAAUUCCGGGUGGAGUGGUGAAAUGCGUAGAGAUCCGGAGGAACACCAAUGGCGAAGGCAGCUCGCUGGAACGGUACUGACGCUGAGGCGCGAAAGCGUGGGGAGCAAACAGG